RNAcentral lists this ribosomal RNA (450 nucleotides) under uncultured bacterium. RNAcentral's name for it is "bacterial SSU rRNA". It matches the Rfam family "Bacterial small subunit ribosomal RNA", at positions 10 to 507 of the family's 1533-position model. The record is from RNAcentral.
AGUUUGAUCAUGGCUCAGAACGACGCUGGCGGCAUGCCUAACACAUGCAAGUCGAACGAAGGCUUCGGCCUUAGUGGCGCACGGGUGCGUAACGCGUGGGAACCUGCCCCUCGGUUCGGAAUAACAGUUAGAAAUGACUGCUAAUACCGGAUGAUGACUUCGGUCCAAAGAUUUAUCGCCGAGGGAUGGGCCCGCGUAGGAUUAGCUAGUUGGUGGGGUAAAGGCCUACCAAGGCGACGAUCCUUAGCUGGUCUGAGAGGAUGAUCAGCCACACUGGGACUGAGACACAGCCCAGACUCCUACGGGAGGCAGCAGUGGGGAAUAUUGGACAAUGGGCGAAAGCCUGAUCCAGCAAUGCCGCGUGAGUGAUGAAGGCCUUAGGGUUGUAAAGCUCUUUUACCAGGGAUGAUAAUGACAGUACCUGGAGAAUAAGCUCCGGCUAACUCCGUG